GUUGGCUUAGAAGCAGCCACCAUUGAAAGAGUGCGUAAUAGCUCACUGGUCGAGUGACCCCGCGCCGAAAAUGUACCGGGGCUAAACAUAUUACCGAAACUGUGGAUGAACCUCUUUAGAGGUUCGUGGUAGGAGAGCGUUCUAAGGGCGGUGAAGUCAGACCGGAAGGACUGGUGGAGCGCUUAGAAGUGAGAAUGCCGGUAUGAGUAGCGAAAGAAGGGUGAGAAUCCCUUCCACCGAAUAUCUAAGGUUUCCUGAGGAAGGCUCGUCCGCUCAGGGUUAGUCGGGACCUAAGCCGAGGCCGAUAGGCGUAGGCGAUGGACAACAGGUAGAGAUUCCUGUACCAGUGCUAAUUGUUUAACCGAUGGGGUGACACAGAAGGAUAGGGAAUCGCACGAAUGGAAAUGUGCGUCCAAGCAGUGAGUGUGAG
RNAcentral lists this ribosomal RNA (430 nucleotides) under Listeria monocytogenes. RNAcentral's name for it is "partial 23S ribosomal RNA". It matches the Rfam family "Bacterial large subunit ribosomal RNA", at positions 1100 to 1529 of the family's 2925-position model. The record is from RNAcentral. Lineage: Bacteria; Bacillati; Bacillota; Bacilli; Caryophanales; Listeriaceae.